Molecule: unclassified non-coding RNA, 339 nt
Filed under: Hevea brasiliensis (rubber tree)
Lineage: Eukaryota; Viridiplantae; Streptophyta; Magnoliopsida; Malpighiales; Euphorbiaceae
Source: RNAcentral
UAAUAAAUGAAAAUUUAAAAAAAUUAAAAUUUAAAGUAGGCCAAGUAUUGUGAGGACCAAUGGCAAUGGACAUAUUUGAGAGGAUAAAAAAAAAUUCUAUCACUUGCAUGUUUGGAUCAUGAAAUUCUGGAAAAACAGGAGUCUUCUGAAUCAGCAACUUAGUGAUUAUCUAAGAACGAAAGAAACCUAUCCGAUUAAAUUCAAUCUUCAGUUAGUCAAGUUUUCAAUCACACUCUCCUUUAAAACUAAGCCAACGUUGGUUUUGUCUUCUUGCUUCUGCAUUAGAUUUAGAUAUUGUUAUUGCUCUGUACAUCAAAUGGUACAGUUGCAGAGUACCAG